RNAcentral lists this ribosomal RNA (479 nucleotides) under uncultured bacterium. Its description in RNAcentral is "bacterial SSU rRNA". It matches the Rfam family "Bacterial small subunit ribosomal RNA", at positions 28 to 507 of the family's 1533-position model. The record is from RNAcentral.
GAUGAACGCUAGCGGGAGGCUUAAUACAUGCAAGUCGAGCGGUAAGGUUUUCGGACCCUAGAGCGGCGAACGGGUGAGUAACGCGUACGAAACCUACCCUUUUAAGAGAGGAAUAGCCCUGGGAAACUGGGAGUAAUGCCUCAUAGUAUUCAUUUACCGCAUGGUUUUAUGGAUUAAAGCUACGGCGCUUAAAGAUGGUCGUGCGUCUGAUUAGCUAGUUGGUAGGGUAACGGCCUACCAAGGCUACGAUCAGUAGGGGGCGUGAGAGCGUGGCCCCCCACACGGGUACUGAGACACGGACCCGACUCCUACGGGAGGCAGCAGUAAGGAAUAUUGGGCAAUGGACGCAAGUCUGACCCAGCCAUCCCGCGUGCAGGACGAAUGCCCUAUGGGUUGUAAACUGCUUUUGUUUGGGAAGAAAUGUAUUCUUUUAAGAGUAUUUGACGGUACCAGACGAAUAAGCACCGGCUAACUCCGUG